AAACGUCAUCAUUUCAUGUGGUCAUUACGUUUUUCGCAUCCAAUGUAAAUAAAAUGUCUUCAACACAUGAACUAAAAGAUGGUAAAUUGUUUAAGUUGAAAUAUGUGUAAAGGAAACUGGUAUUUUAUCAGUUUUUUGCCAACCUAUUAUUUAUUACUGCAACUUAUCACCGGAUUAUACAUUAUGAUACUUUAACAAAAGCUGUAAAUGAAGAUGGUCUAGUGAAAAACCUGUCUGGUCAUGUUAUUGUUAUUUGAUAUAACGAUAAACUGUUUACUUUAACAAUCAUUUCUACAAACAAGACAUAAAUUCCGAAUAGUUUCCAAAACAUAUUAUAUAAAAGAAUAUUUUCCCAUGAACAAAACUGACUAGAACUAUCUAUUUAUAAAUAACAUGAUAAAUUGUUGUCUAAUGUUGAGGGGUGAUGGGACCUUUAUCGGGACUCCAGGAUCAGGUGUUUGUAAGCUUGGGAUUUCGGGAUUGACCGUUUUGGGAUAUGGGAAUAUUUAUUUUUUUCGGAUUUCAGGACGUCGUGAUUUUCUUUAUUUAAAUUCCGGACUUCAGGUUUUCGUGUUUUUAAGACCAGGAUUUCAGGAUCAGGACCCCUCCUAUCCCCCCUACAUGUUGAAUCUGUUCACCAAAACAUUUUGCUUUCAUGUCGAUCCGUCCCCUCAGUCUGUCCAUUCCAGAAUUUAAGAUACAUACUGCGUAUUGUAUCAAAUCUUUUGUGGUUUAAUCAAUGCAUACAGGACUUUUUUGUUAGACUGAAUGUCAUUUUCUUUUCCCCUUAAUCUUUUUAUGAAAAUCCAACGAUUCAUCUUUAAAAAAUUGUUACCCCUCCACAAAACUUAACUGUCAGUGGCUUAUAAUCUAUAACCUUAAUCCUCCUAAUAAUAAAAUGCUAUUUUAUAUUUAGAGAACCUACUUUUAUAUAGAACAUACAUGUAAUACAAAGAUUUCAUAAUUAUAGCGAAAAAUGGGGGAAAAAAAUAUAUUUAGUAGCACAAUCAUGGUUUAAAGAUUUCAUAAUUAUCGGAAAAUAUUUUAUUUCCUCAUUUUUUUCACUAUAAUCAUGAUAAUUAUAAAAUCUUCAGUUGACUGUGAUAUGUCAUUGUGUUAUGUUCUUUCAAAUGUAGGUAUGUAGUAUAUAUUUAUAUAUAUUAUACAUACAUAUAGUUUUCUUGUUUUGAUUAUAAGAGGGUAUGAAUAGUUUAGCAUGAAUGAGAGUAUGAAUUUGGUUUACAGAUAAGACAAUGAUGGUCAAAUAAAUGAGGAUUAAAAAAAAAUAUAUAUAUAUAUACAAUGUAUAUAUGAAAAACAGAUUGAAGGUGUGAUUAAAUCCUCGAAUUUUAAUAUAUUAAAAUUGAUCACUUAUUAAAAAUGGGUAGGAUGGAUGUGUGACAAAAUGAAUUGGGAUGGAUCAACUCAUUCAACUUGGGACAGGAAUAACCAGAUACCAAACAUUCAUUUCAUUUCAUGUUCACUUUUAUUCACGUUCCCAUAUUGCUAUGAAAUAAAGAUAUAAAGGUCCAAGUUGUAAAAUAAAUUGAUUGACAAUUUGCCUCAAAAGGUAAACCGGUUUCCCGUGUAAAGUCAAGUUUAUAGUGUUUUGUUGAUUUUUUUUUAUGAAAUAAAUAUUGUCAUGACAAUUACAGGCAUAUGUUCAAUCAUUUAUUUUAGAAUCAUAAAAAAUAGGCUGAAUAUAUCAAAAUAUCUAUCAAAUUCAUCACAAUGACAUUUGCACAGCAACUAUAUUAUAAAUAACCAUAUAAAGGUGUUGUAUUCCAUCUACAUGUAUAAGUUCCUCAAUUAUAUGUCAUGUACAUGUAUAAUGCAGAGUCACAAGUCAUUAAAAGUUGGUAAUAUGAUAGUCUAAGAUAUGUGUAUGCCUGCAACAUUUUGCAAUACCAUGUAUGGAAUCAGAUUAUUUUUGGUUAAAGAUUGCAUGAAAUGCAAUCAAAACCCUAUUGUACUGGCUUCAUAUUUAAAUCUUCCCAGAUUUAUCUGAAUAUCACUACCUUUGAUAUGAACAGAAUAUAGUGCAUUGAUCAUAACAUUACAUCUUAUCCAUGAACAUAUCCAGAAAUUUUUAUCAAUGUCAACUUUAAAAAUUGGAGUUAUCUUCCUUUGUCCAGAAUUCUUGUUGAUUCAACUAUAACUGGUCAGUGUUUUCCCACUGAUGAAUUUUAGCAAUCUUAACCCUUCAGUGCUUACAAGCACUUUGAUUCUAUUUAAAUAUUAUAUGUUUAUUUUCUUUACAGUCAUUAAAGAUACAUUAGAGAAUAAAGGCACACUGGGACAGAUAAAAGCCAGGAUAAGAGCUGAGGUGUUCAAUGCACUAAAUGACGAAAGUGAAAAUAAACCUCAACUUAGCAAUGAAAAUUUGAUUAUAAAUGAACUCAUCAGAGAGUACCUAGAUUUUAACAAGUACA
RNAcentral lists this long non-coding RNA (2432 nucleotides) under Mytilus galloprovincialis (Mediterranean mussel). Lineage: Eukaryota; Metazoa; Mollusca; Bivalvia; Mytilida; Mytilidae. The record is from RNAcentral.